Molecule: ribosomal RNA, 429 nt
Filed under: Chloroflexota bacterium
Lineage: Bacteria; Bacillati; Chloroflexota
Description: Chloroflexi bacterium partial 16S ribosomal RNA
Rfam family: Bacterial small subunit ribosomal RNA
Source: RNAcentral
UGGGGAAUAUUGCACAAUGGGCGCAAGCCUGAUGCAGCCAUGCCGCGUGUGUGAAGAAGGCCUUCGGGUUGUAAAGCACUUUCAGCGGGGAGGAAGGCGGUGAGGUUAAUAACCUCAUCGAUUGACGUUACCCGCAGAAGAAGCACCGGCUAACUCCGUGCCAGCAGCCGCGGUAAUACGGAGGGUGCAAGCGUUAAUCGGAAUUACUGGGCGUAAAGCGCACGCAGGCGGUCUGUCAAGUCGGAUGUGAAAUCCCCGGGCUCAACCUGGGAACUGCAUUCGAAACUGGCAGGCUAGAGUCUUGUAGAGGGGGGUAGGAUUCCAGGUGUAGCGGUGAAAUGCGUAGAGAUCUGGAGGAAUACCGGUGGCGAAGGCGGCCCCCUGGACGAAGACUGACGCUCAGGUGCGAAAGCGUGGAGAGCAAACAGG